Molecule: long non-coding RNA, 6059 nt
Filed under: Gossypium barbadense (sea-island cotton)
Lineage: Eukaryota; Viridiplantae; Streptophyta; Magnoliopsida; Malvales; Malvaceae
Description: long non-coding RNA (GBAR_LNC010860)
Source: RNAcentral
GGAAAUGUAUCCGGGCUAAAGUCCCGCAGGCUUCGUGCUGGAAAUGUAUCCGAGCUAAAGUCCCGCAGGCUUUGUGCUGGUAAUAUAAUUUCGGGUUUUAUACCUAGCAGGCCAAGUCCCGAUGAAUUUGAUAAAAGUAUACAAUUACAAGAUCCUACACUAAGUUGACAAAUUGAAAGUGCAUUACAUAUUAAGUUGGCCAGGUACGUAUCAUGUACUCGUAUGUGAUUUGAUUUGAACUAAAUUAUAAAUAUAUAAAGUGAUGCAUCUGUGAAUAAGUGUUAUGACUAUAUAUGUGAUCGUGAUAUAUUCGGUAAAUGUGUGAAGUUAUGUGAAGUGAUUUUAUGUUUAUAUUCAAAUAUAAACACAUGGUCAUUGUGGAAAGGUUUGUGGAAGUAUAUGAUUUAUUUUUAGGUGAUUACGAUCAUGGAAAAUUAAAUGUGAAUAUUAUAUUGUAUUUUAUUCGUUUCAAUUGAACUAAAGCUGUUAGUGAAGCAUUUUAAUGCCUAUGUUAUAUGAGUUCGAUCUUGAAUGACAUGAUAUACAUGUUUAGAUAAUUUGAAUGCAAGGAAUGUGUGAAAGUGCAAAUUGUAAUAAAUCUGCUUGGGACAGUAACAGUAGCGUGAUUUUGGAAAAUCACCAUAAAUUGUGGAAAUUGAAUUAGAAGCUGAAUAAAUUAUUUAAUUAAAGCUUAAUGAGUCUAGUUUCUUAUAAAAGAAACCUUGUAAGUAAAAUAAUUGUAGAUAAUGAGAUAUUUGAAGUGGCGUAAGAUAGAGUCAAAAUGACUUUGAAAUCCCCUGUUCUGUUUUUAGAAAAUCAUUGUAAUUUGUACAAUGAUGAUUAUAAGAUAAAAUUUAUAUACUUAGACUCCUUAAUGAGUCUAGUUUCAAAUGAAAUAAACGAUAACAUAAUUCUAAUUCUGUAUAAUGAGAAAAUUGAUUCGUAGUGAAGAGCGGUCAGAAUAGUCAAACAGUGAAAUAGGGGAAACUUCAAUAAAAAUCUGGUAUUGAUUGGUCAAACCAAAAAUUCUGAAAAUUUGACGGAUGUAAGAUAUAUGAGUCUAUUUUUAGGGAAAAUUAACGUCACUUGAUUUGGAGUUUCUUAGCUCUAGUUAUAAACAAUUUAGUGACUGUUGCUCAGGAAGACAGCUUGUAGUGAAUUUGUGAUUUUGUUGUAAACAUGGUUAAAACUAGUUAAUGAGAUACUUUUCGAGUUCUUAUGAUCUUAUUUGUGAUUUGAAUAUUUGGUUUUAAUUGAGUUCAGGUUCAAGUGAGAUGAAUUUGCUAAAUAUGCAUUAUGUUCAUGGAUACUUGGCCAAAAUGGCAAUUACCUAGGAAUGAUUUCUUGAAAUUUUGAAAUAAUCGAUCUAUAAGUAAAUUAAUUGUUUGCAUUGCUUAAAAUUUACUAAGCAUUGAAGCUUACUCCGUGUUCUCUUUUCCAUUUCUUAUAGGUUUAUCCUUUAAUUCGAGUUGGAAGAGCCGGAGAUAUCAUCACACUAUCGAGUCAUUAUGUGAGUUGAGAAGAUUGUAUAUCAUCAUGGUUUAAGGCAUGUAUAGGAUAGACUAUAGGUAGAAUGAUAUUUCGACUUUGUAUACAUUAUAGCCAUGCGAAAAUGGCUUGCUCAUUUUGUUUAGAGAAGCCUUAUAAUUGAACUAAUGUGUUGAAAUGUUUUAGUUAUAACUUGAUAGUAGUUAUUUUGUUAUUAGAUAUUCGGUUGUGUUUUGAUAGUUAGUCAUUUUGGAAAUUUAUAAGAGCUCUUAUGGAAAAUCAAUGAGACAGGUUUGCAUUGUUGAUAAUUUAUGUCUGGUAAGUAUCUUUGACCUUAUAGAAGUUUUGUUCAGUCAAGUAAUACCUCAUAACCUUAUUCCGGCAACGGAUACGGGUUAGGAGUGUUACAUUUAGUGGUAUCAGAGCUAUGAUUUAGUCGAUUCUCGGACUAAUCUAACGUAUGUGAGUCUAGCUAUACAUGCCAUAUUACUACUCGUGAUAGUGUGACAUCUCUCGGCUCUAACGAAAUUGUUUUGUAAGACAGAUAUGCUUUCCAAUCGAGCUAAUUCUGAUAGUAUAGAAUGUUAUACUCAAACGUUUGAGUGAAAAUGUGUUGGUAAUGAGUUGAAACUCAUAAAAGGUAUGAAUCAGAAUGCAUGAUAUUCUGCUAUUGAUAAAUGUUAUAAUUAUAUGAGUAUAUGAGUUAUGAGGUUGAGUAUAUGAUGGUUGUGUGAAUAUUUUGACUUAGAAUUUAUGAUUUGAAUUAGCGUAUGAGCUAUGUGUUAAGUACCAAGUGAUCAUAAGUAAAUAAUUACUAGAUGUUUGAGAAUACAAAAUUAGUAAUGAACUGUUCGUUCAUAAUAGUAUGUGUGAUGUGCAUGUUUACGUAAGAGUUAAAAUUGUUGGCUUUACAACCCUCACCCUCUCAUCGGUAAAGCAUUGUAAUGAGAUCCGUACUAUAUGGAUUAAAUACGCUUACGAGUGUGAAAUUAUAGAGUUUCGUGGUUGAAAGAUUAGUAUUGUGAUCAAAUAAGAGAAUGAGUCCGCAAGUGAAGACAGUAACAGAAAAUAUAUUGGAUCAUGUUGAAGGCCAUUCGUAAUAUGCCAAUUCACUGUUAAAGAAGAAGUUGAAUUCGAUGAGAUGAAAUUAUUCAGGUAUGAUGUCUAAAGAACGUAUUAACUGGAAGUUUUUCUGAAUUGAUUUCUGUUAGUAAUGGAAUAUUGUGAAAUUGGUGAUGAUAGAAUUAGACAGUAGGAUAAUGUUUGAAUUGAAAUGAUAGCUGAGUGCAGUGAUUAUAGUCGGGCAGUUACUACGUUUUCUUCUGGGCAUUCUAUGUGUACAUUUAUCCUCAGAGGUAUGUAUAACUGUAUAUUUCAAAUGAAAAUUCUUAUCAUAUGAGAACAUCAUCUAUAUAUAUUGAUAUAUGAAAGCAUUGUUGGGCUAUUCGGGUUACAAUUGACAUUAUUAUAUCUUUCUAUGGUAUCCUAUUUCAUUUUAUUGAAAGAAAAGAUCUACGAUAGAAUCUGUGUGAUGUUGGUAUUUUGAUCCUACUAGUUUUUUAUCUACUUAGUAUACAUGAAGAUUAUAUUGUUUCUGUUACCGUUAAUUCUGGUGCAUGUGAGUGAUGUUUUACUUCUGGAUUUCCUCUGAGACAUCACUGAGAUAUCUGUCAUCUGAUAUGGGCGCUUUCUUAAAAAGAUCAGUAUAGUGAUAUAUUUGAGAUUACAGUAUCUCUUCUUUCUUAUGAUUCUAUAUGGUUAUCUGUGAAAAAUAUCUUUUAAAUGAUGUAAUAUUUAUCAAUAAAGUGAUAAACAGUUGAAGAAAUUGUUAUUGAAGUGCCAGUUCUCAAGUAAAGAGUUAUUCGACACAAGAAUUAAAAAUGGUUCGAACUGUUGAAAGAUUAUGAGUCAGUGAUUGAUUAUCAAUCUGGGCAAAUGAUUAUAGUCUUUGGGGUUCUGAGCGAGAAUCUUUAUGUGUUUUACGACCGACAAUCAUGUGAUUAAUCUUAUCAAAUGAUGAGUAGUUAUUGGCUGAGCUAGAAACUAAAUUGAUGUUUAAUCAACAAAUUUGUAAGGCUUUGUAUGGUCGUAAAUGCCGAACGCCAUUGUAUUGGACUGAGCUCAGUGAAAAUAAGAUACACGGAGUCGAUUUGAUCAGAGAAACUGAACAGAAAGUGAAAGUGAUCCGUGAAAGUUUGAAAGUAGCGUUAGAUCGACAUAAAUCUUAUGCGAACUUGAAACGGAAAGAUAUAGAGUUUCAGAUCGGAGAUAAAGUUUUCUUGAAAAACUCACCGUGGAAGAAAAUACUUAGAUUCGGUCGUAAAGGCAAAUUGAGUCUGAGGUUUCUUGGGUCUUAUAAGGUUAUAGAACGUAUCGGGCCGGUUACUUAUAGAUUUAUUGUUGCCACCUGAGUUAGAAAAGAUCCAUAAUGUAUUUCACGUUUCGAUGCUUCGGAGGUAUCGAUCUGAUCCAUCACAUGUGAUUAGUCCGUCUGAGAUUGAAAUUUAGCCUAAUAUGACCUACGAAGAAGAACCGAUUCGCAUUUUGACUCGUGAGGUUAAAGAGUUAUGGAAUAAGAAGAUUUUGUUAGUUAAGGUAUUCUGGCAUAAGCAUGGAGUUGAAGAAGCAACAUGGGAGCUAGAGGAUACAAUGAGAGAACGUUAUCCGAACCUAUUCACUGGUAAGAUUUUCGGGGACGAAAAUCCCUAAGGGGGGAGAGUUGUAACAGCCCGAUUUAGACCCUAAACAGAACGGUGGUUUCGGGACCAUGAAUCUGAGUCAGAAAAAUAUUUUUAAAAUAUUUUCUAUGUUUAUUUUGUGUGAAUUUAUAUCUGUGAAAAUUUCGUAAUUUAAUUUUGUCGUUUGGGUGUCCGAUUAAAUAAUAGGACUUAAUUGCGUAAAUUGAAAAUUUGAUAGUUUAAAGUAAGAGGGCCAAAUAGUUGGUGAUUUUCUAAGUUGGAGUAUUUAUAAUGUAACUAUUCCAUUGACAUGUGGCUUGUACGGUAAUGGACAUAGGUUAUAUAAUUUUAUUACUAUUUCAUUAAGGUUAGUUAGGUAAAUUAAUAAUAAAAUAAUAUAUGUUAUUAUAUCAUAAAAUAAUAAGCCACAUUCAUGUUAUUUCCUUCAUCUUUGCACCGAAACUAAAACAAAGAAAAAGAAAGAAAACAAAGUAGGGUUCGGCCUUGUUCAAGCUAGAUUAAGGUAAGUGUUCAGCUCAGUUUUUGAUAAUUUUUUCGUUUUUGAAAUCGUUGCUUCGAACAAAACCCAUGCUUGAAAUUUUGAUUUUGAUGAAUAUUUUGAGUUGUGUCAUUGUUAAUAGCUUGUGAUUUUUUUUGUUUGAUGAUGAAAAAUAAAAGAUAUGUUUUAGAUUAACAUAUUUUGUAUUGGAGUUUUUGAUGAUUUUGAGUAAUAAGGACUUAAUUGCAAAAAUAAUAAUUUAAGGGACUAAAAUAUGAAAUAAAUGAAAUAAAUGGGCUUGUAUGAACACUAGGAAUAUUCGGCCAAACAUGGGUACCUUGAAAUUUUGCAUAUUUUGUGUUUUGUGCAAUAGGGAUUAAAUUGUAAAAAUUGUAAAUGUCAGGGGUAAAAUGGUAAUUUGACCAUUUAUGUGUUUUUGGACUAAAUUGAAUGAAAAUAUGUUUGAAUGAGCUUAAUUUGAAUAUUUUUAGAUCAAGAACCAAAGAAAUCGGAUUUGGACUAGGAAAAAACGAAAGUUGUCGACUAGCAGCUCCGUCCCGUUUUACGACGUCUGAGGUAAGUUUAUAAGCAAAUACACAUGCCUAAAUGUAGUUAAAUGUUAAGUAUAUAUGCUGGUAUAUAAUAUAUGAAUUUAUACUUGUAAAUGCCGAAUGUGUAUGAGUUUGAAAACUAUGUUCGAGCUUUCGAUUCGACCGAGUUACGACGUUCGAAAGCCCUGUAUGAACCUUAGGAAUAGUUAGGAUACAUAUGUCAUGAAACAGGAUUUCGACAUUUGUGUUCCUUGUGUAUGAUUAUUGAACCAAAAGUUAAAGGGUAGGUGUACAUUUUGUGCUUAUAUUCGAAUGAAGCAAUUGAAUUGCUAAUGUGAUAUGUUAUGUGAAAUGUGUUAACAUGUGAAUAAAUAAGCAAGACACUGGAAAUGUAUCCGGGCUAAAGACCCGCAGGCUUCGUGCUGGAAAUGUAUCCGGGCUAAAGUCCCGAAGGCUUCGUGCUGGAAAUGUAUCCAGGCUAAAGACCCGCAAGCUUCGUGCUGGAAAUGUAUCCGGGCUAAAGUCCCGCAGGCUUCGUGCUGGAAAUGUAUCCGAGCUAAAGUCCCGCAGGCUUUGUGCUGGUAAUAUAAUUUCGGGUUUUAUACCUAGCAGGCCAAGUCCCGAUGAAUUUGAUAAAAGUAUACAAUUACAAGAUCCUACACUAAGUUGACAAAUUGAAAGUGCAUUACAUAUUAAGUUGGCCAGGUACGUAUCAUGUACUCGUAUGUGAUUUGAUUUGAACUAAAUUAUAAAUAUAUAAAGUGAUGCAUCUGUGAAUAAGUGUUAUGACUAUAUAUGUGAUCGUGAUAUAUUCGGUAAAUGUGUGAAGUUAUGUGAAGUGAU